RNAcentral lists this ribosomal RNA (445 nucleotides) under uncultured bacterium. RNAcentral's name for it is "bacterial SSU rRNA". It matches the Rfam family "Bacterial small subunit ribosomal RNA", at positions 354 to 796 of the family's 1533-position model. The record is from RNAcentral.
GUGAGGAAUAUUGGUCAAUGGGCGCAAGCCUGAACCAGCCAUCCCGCGUGAAGGAAGAAGGCCCUACGGGUUGUAAACUUCUUUUCCAGGGGAAGAAUAUCCUGCACGCGUGCGGGACUGACGGUACCCUGGGAAUAAGCAUCGGCUAACUCCGUGCCAGCAGCCGCGGUAAUACGGAGGAUGCGAGCGUUAUCCGGAUUUAUUGGGUUUAAAGGGUGCGUAGGCGGAUCAAUAAGUCAGUGGUGAAACCCUGCAGCUUAACUGUAGACUUGCCAUUGAUACUGUUGAACUCGAGUAUGGUCAAGGCAGGCGGAAUGUGUAAUGUAGCGGUGAAAUGCUUAGAUAUUACACAGAACACCGAUCGCGAAGGCAGCUUGCUGGUCCAUUACUGACGCUGAUGCACGAAAGCGUGGGGAUCGAACAGGAUUAGAUACCCCAGUAGUCC